This 642-nucleotide ribosomal RNA is filed under the name Triticum aestivum (bread wheat). RNAcentral's name for it is "partial small subunit ribosomal RNA". Lineage: Eukaryota; Viridiplantae; Streptophyta; Magnoliopsida; Poales; Poaceae. The record is from RNAcentral.
AUGCAACAACGGGGAGUGACUUCAAUAUCUCCCACAUAUGCAGGAGGUAAUGGUCAAGUCAGAGACCAUCGAGAAACAGAGGAACAGGUUGAUGGCUACAAUCAGAAAAGUGAGAUUCGAAGUAGAGCUUCAGGAUGCGAUGUACUACCAUCGGCCAGACCUGAAAAUUCUUAUAUUGGUAACACAAGGACUCCUCUUGCUGGCAUUGGUGGGCCAAUUAGGAAGCACCAUAAUCUUACCAAAAAAGUCUGCGGUAAGGUUGAUAUGUACAGAAACCGAGAAGCAGCUGCGGAAAAGUUGAGUAGUCCUUACACUACUCAUCACAGCAAAACACCUGCAAAGGUAGGCUUGGAUGGAGAAGAGAAUUAUGAUCCAUGGCUGUUGUGGAUUCCAUUGACAUCUUCUAGCAAAGACUGUCGAGAUUCUCACUAUGGUGCUUUCACCCCACCUACAACAGACAGUGAAAGAUGUGCGGAUCUGCAAGUUGGUUCCAGCAAUAGUGGCAUCAGAACUAUAACCCAAACUCAAUGUUGCAACAAUCAGGGUGAAGUUUUGAAGCCUAUUCUAGAAGUUCGUCAUGAAGGUGAUAUGGAAGUUGAUGGGGCUAUGGCGCCAGCCCUUAAGGCGCCACAGGCGCCAUGA